RNAcentral lists this long non-coding RNA (339 nucleotides) under Cricetulus griseus (Chinese hamster). Its description in RNAcentral is "lncRNA (ENSCGRG00015033094.1)". Lineage: Eukaryota; Metazoa; Chordata; Mammalia; Rodentia; Cricetidae. The record is from RNAcentral.
AUGACACACUAUUUGGAGUUCAUUCUCUCCUCUGCUACUGGCCUCUUGGGCAAAGAACUGCCCCCACCCCGACUGCUAACCUUGGUCAUGCUGUCCUAACUGUGCUUGCAGGAGAUAAACUUAAAGAAGACUGCUUAACCCUGCCCAGUCAAAAUGAAAUGUGGUCACUCUGUUUCCUGAUGGGGCCAGCCUUAUGUUCUGUUUGCCACGCAUUUUUCUUCCAUGAUGGACUGUAUAACACCUAGAACUAUAAGGCAAAAUAAACUCUUCUUUCCCUAAGUUGCUUUUUAAAGAAGACUACUCUACCCAAACAACAUAAAAGUAAUUAAUAAAAACAGU